This is a long non-coding RNA of Gasterosteus aculeatus aculeatus (three-spined stickleback), 466 nucleotides long. NCBI's taxonomy places the organism in Eukaryota, Metazoa, Chordata, Actinopteri, Perciformes, Gasterosteidae. The record is from Ensembl.
AGAAAACACGUCAUUCGCAGGAAUAUGUUCUAACAACGUGGUGCAGUCCGUCGUUAAGUAAUUAUUAUUUGUAUUCAUUUGAUGGAAUCCAUCCGCACGGGAGGACAGCGAAAGGCCUCGUGGAGUCGUUCUGCGGGGAGAAAUGAUAGUCGCAUUAACCCUUCAACUCUUAUUUCAUGGCUGCAAUCGUUAAGAAGCUGGUGGAUUUAAUUACUGUCGGUGCAGGCUGGGAAGGAGAACCGGAGCAACACGUGAGCGAGCUGCACAGGUUCUCUCCUUGUGUUUGAGGAGGUGGUACAAGACGCUCGGUGACAGCACGCCUUCCUCUCUGCUCCUUUUUGUACCUCGCUGUCACUCAGAAGCUUCCAGUAUUGGCCAACGAAAACGGCCGCUGUGGUUCUGACGGGGAACCGGUGGGCUUCAAAGGACAAGAGAACAUGGCACGAUUGUUGCCCUCUCCCACUGC